CCUACGGGCGGCAGCAGUGAGGAAUAUUGGUCAAUGGACGAGAGUCUGAACCAGCCAAGUAGCGUGAAGGAUGACUGCCCUAUGGGUUGUAAACUUCUUUUAUAUGGGAAUAAAAUGUUCCACGUGUGGGAUUUUGUAUGUACCAUAUGAAUAAGGAUCGGCUCACUCCGUGCCAGCAGCCGCGGUAAUACGGAGGAUCCGAGCGUUAUCCGGAUUUAUUGGGUUUAAAGGGAGCGUAGGUGGAUUGUUAAGUAAGUUGUGAAAGUUUGCGGCUCAACCGUAAAAUUGCAGUUGAAACUGGCAGUCUUGAGUACAGUAGAGGUGGGCGGAAUUCGUGGUGUAGCGGUGAAAUGCUUAGAUAUCACGAAGAACUCCGAUUGCGAAGGCAGUUCACUGGACUGCAACUGACACUGAGGCUCGAAAGUGUGGGUAUCAAACAGGAUUAGAUACCCUUGUAGUC
RNAcentral lists this ribosomal RNA (460 nucleotides) under uncultured bacterium. RNAcentral's name for it is "partial 16S ribosomal RNA". It matches the Rfam family "Bacterial small subunit ribosomal RNA", at positions 338 to 795 of the family's 1533-position model. The record is from RNAcentral.